GGAGGCCUUYGGUUGUAAACCUCUUUUCUGGGGGACGAAAGCUGACGGUACCCCAGGAAUAAGCCUCGGCUAACUCCGUGCCAGCASCCGCGGUAAGACGGAGGAGGCAAGCGUUAUCCGGAAUUAUUGGGCGUAAAGGGUACGUAGGCGGCUGGUCAAGUCUGGGGUCAAAGGCCACAGCUCAACUGUGGGAAGGCCCUGGAAACUGACCGGCUAGAGUGAGGUAGGGGUUGCGGGAAUUCCCGGUGUAGCGGUGAAAUGCGUAGAGAUCGGGAAGAACACCUGAGGCGGAAGCGCGCAACUGGCCUCAACUGACGCUGAGUACG
RNAcentral lists this ribosomal RNA (326 nucleotides) under uncultured cyanobacterium. RNAcentral describes it as "bacterial SSU rRNA". It matches the Rfam family "Bacterial small subunit ribosomal RNA", at positions 410 to 755 of the family's 1533-position model. Lineage: Bacteria; Bacillati; Cyanobacteriota. The record is from RNAcentral.